RNAcentral lists this ribosomal RNA (275 nucleotides) under uncultured bacterium. RNAcentral describes it as "partial 16S ribosomal RNA". It matches the Rfam family "Bacterial small subunit ribosomal RNA", at positions 338 to 627 of the family's 1533-position model. The record is from RNAcentral.
CCUACGGGGGGCUGCAGUAGGGAAUAUUGCACAAUGGGCGAAAGCCUGAUGCAGCGACGCCGCGUGGGUGAUGAAGGAUUUCGGUUUGUAAAGCCCUUUUGUCAGGGAAUAAAAAAAUGAAUGUACCUGAAGAAUAAGCGCCGGCUAACUUCGUGCCAGCAGCCGCGGUAAUACGAAGGGCGCAAGCGUUGCUCGGAAUUAUUGGGCGUAAAGCGAGCGCGGGUGGUUUCUUAAGUCAGGAGUGAAAGCCCUGGGCUCAACCCAGGAAGUGCUUU